UUGUCGGGACGACCCGACAAGCGGCGCAUGUUUUCCGGGGACGACCCCG
RNAcentral lists this non-coding RNA (49 nucleotides) under Pandoraea pnomenusa. Its description in RNAcentral is "Guanidine-II sequence". It matches the Rfam family "Guanidine-II riboswitch aptamer (mini-ykkC)". From Rfam's summary of the family: Simpler in structure and has fewer highly conserved nucleotide positions than the ykkC-yxkD leader. The record is from RNAcentral. Lineage: Bacteria; Pseudomonadati; Pseudomonadota; Betaproteobacteria; Burkholderiales; Burkholderiaceae.